GGCUUGGUGGUGGAUGGUCCAUAUCUGCAGAAAGUCUGCAACAAUGAUAGAACUUUACAGAGCAGAAGUAGCCUGUUCGAAUCAGGCCCGAGCCA
Mycena leptocephala is the source of this 95-nucleotide non-coding RNA. The record is from the annotation of a GenBank genome assembly. NCBI's taxonomy places the organism in Eukaryota, Fungi, Basidiomycota, Agaricomycetes, Agaricales, Mycenaceae.